Long non-coding RNA from Cuculus canorus (common cuckoo), 362 nucleotides. RefSeq lists it as uncharacterized. The transcript has 3 exons. NCBI's taxonomy places the organism in Eukaryota, Metazoa, Chordata, Aves, Cuculiformes, Cuculidae. The record is from RefSeq and is a predicted model, not a curated record.
AUUUCACCUGCAAAUAUCCUUUUCCAUUCUUUCUGGACCCUCCUUUCUUCCUUCCCCCCUGUACUGUGCUCUGGGAACAACCCAGACAACAAGCAAGCACCUCUCGGAUCCAGUAAAGAUGCAGGCACCUUCUGAAGACCGUACUGGAAGUCACUGAUCCGUCUAAUGACAACACUGUAGGACUAUCACAAGAAGGAAGAAAAGGGAUUCUUUCACUCUGCAUAACCAAGACCUGAGAAACCACAUCUCUACAGAAAACAGAACAUUAGGAGUUUGAGCAUGUCACAGGAAGCAACACAUCCCAAAUACUGCAGCAAAACGGCUGGAUAUCCACACAAGCACAUGCAACAACAGCCAACCUG